This 599-nucleotide ribosomal RNA is filed under the name uncultured bacterium. Its description in RNAcentral is "bacterial SSU rRNA". It matches the Rfam family "Bacterial small subunit ribosomal RNA", at positions 1 to 589 of the family's 1533-position model. The record is from RNAcentral.
CUCGGUACGCGCGGAUCUUCCAGAGAUUAGAGUUUGAUCCUGGCUCAGGAUGAACGUUGGCGGUGUGCCUAAUACAUGCAAGUCGAACGGUGAUAUUUUUGUAGUAAUACGAAUUUAUCAUAGUGGCGAACGGGUGAGUAACGCGUUGGUGAUCUGCCUCGAAGUGUGGAAUAACGUCCCGAAAGGAACGCUAAUACCGCAUGUGCCCUCGAUUUUUAGAAAGUUGAGAGUAAAGGAUUUAUUCGCUUCGAGAGGAGCCUGCGUCCCAUCAGCUAGUUGGUAAGGUAAUGGCCUACCAAGGCAAUGACGGGUAGGGGACCUGAGAGGGUGGCCCCCCACAAUGGAACUGAAACACGGUCCAUACACCUACGGGUGGCAGCAGUAGGGAAUAUUAGAAAUGGACGAAAGUCUGAUCUAGCGACACCGCGUGUGCGAUGAAGGCCUUCGGGUUGUAAAGCACUUUUUGGAAGGAAUAGGAAGGAAGGUACUUCCAGAAUAAGUCUCGGCUAACUACGUGCCAGCAGCCGCGGUAACACGUAGGAGGCAAACGUUAUCCGGAUUUACUGGGCGUAAAGCGCGUGUAGGUGGUUCUGUAAGUA